RNAcentral lists this ribosomal RNA (485 nucleotides) under uncultured bacterium. Its description in RNAcentral is "partial 16S ribosomal RNA". It matches the Rfam family "Bacterial small subunit ribosomal RNA", at positions 30 to 507 of the family's 1533-position model. The record is from RNAcentral.
AUUGAACGCUGGCGGCAGGCUUAACACAUGCAAGUCGAGCGGGGAAAGGUAGCUUGCUACCUGACCUAGCGGCGGACGGGUGAGUAAUGCUUAGGAAUCUGCCUAUUAGUGGGGGACAACAUCUCGAAAGGGAUGCUAAUACCGCAUACGUCCUACGGGAGAAAGCAGGGGACCUUCGGGCCUUGCGCUAAUAGAUGAGCCUAAGUCGGAUUAGCUAGUUGGUGGGGUAAAGGCCUACCAAGGCGACGAGCUGUAGCGGGUCUGAGAGGAUGAUCCGCCACACUGGGACUGAGACACGGCCCAGACUCCUACGGGAGGCAGCAGUGGGGAAUAUUGGACAAUGGGGGGAACCCUGAUCCAGCCAUGCCGCGUGUGUGAAGAAGGCCUUUUGGUUGUAAAGCACUUUAAGCGAGGAGGAGGCUACCGAGAUUAAUACUCUUGGAUAGUGGACGUUACUCGCAGAAUAAGCACCGGCUAACUCUGUG